UGCAUCGGCCGGGAAUCGAACCCUGGCCGCCCGCGUAGCAGGCGAGCAUUCUACCACUGAACCACCGAUGC
Molecule: transfer RNA, 71 nt
Filed under: Cordylochernes scorpioides
Lineage: Eukaryota; Metazoa; Arthropoda; Arachnida; Pseudoscorpiones; Chernetidae
Description: tRNA-Ser
Source: RNAcentral